UAAAAUCUAUGAACUAACUUUUGAACAAGCUCUACACUAUAAAACAUGAAAGAAAGAAAUAUUGAAAGCAUCGAGUGACACAAAUUAUAUAUUCUUUAUAGAUAGAAAACUUUUGUAUUUGUGCUAUAAGUUUUGUUUACAUCAAUUGGGAGCUAAAUUAUAGAAGGUAAAUAGACUAAGUUGUAGUCAAAUCUUUGGAUUGAGAUAUUGACAUGUUAUGGUUACUUUAUCUAUGUAAGAUCUACCAUAAUCUCAUGUUCCAGUGAAGAGGGGUCGGGAUGCUGACCAACAUUUCUCUCUGGAAGAAGGCUCUCCUAAACAGUCUCGACUGUCUAGGGAAGUUUUUUUGGGGUCACUCACUCUCUUCUUCCACCUUCCCUUCAUUCUCCCUUAUCUAAUUCCUCGUACUUCUAAGGAAGUUAUUUUUAUCGUCUCUAUGAAUGACAUGUCUUCUGUCCUGAAUAUUUCCGACACAGAGAAAACGAAAUUCCUUUUUGAAGUCACCAUCCACACCUACCAUAUUUCUUCUUUUUUCUCCCUGGUCGCUACUAGAAGAUGGAGGUAUUGGCUUUAGGUAAGCCUACCAAGGAAAGGGUCACUUGGAAGGGAAAAUGUUAAGCUAUGGAGCAGAAAUGCUCCGCUUUCUAAAAGGAACUAGUUGACUUACAGGGGGAAGUAAAGCUUGUUGAGGCUCUACAAGAAGAAGUGAAGGUCCAUGGACCACCUUCAUCUCAAUCUACUCGGAUUGGUGAGUUGGGGUCCUCUCUCGAGGCAGAGAAAAAACAAUAUUAAGAGACUUUAAAUGAUAUUGCUCGUAGAUAUUUGUGCGGAGGAGGCUUAGAAAACUCCCCAACAGGAAAAUGAGACUCGUGUUGAGGCUUUGAGGACUCACGAAGACAACGUAGUCACUCUGAAGGAGAAGGUCCAUGAGUCCCUUCCAUGAACUGUGAAGGCUGUGUAUGGGGUUCUUGACCAGACACUAAGUCAGGUAAAUAUAUUUUGUCCUGAUAGUCCUAUCCCUAUUAAAGGAUUGGACCUCGUCACGGCUGAUCUAUAUGGGACUUUCGGGGGUGAUCAAGGCACAUCGUCUCUAGGCACAAAUGCUUGAUUAUUUUUUUUCUUGUAAUAUUUUCCAAGUUUUUGUGCUUUGGCUAUGAUAACAAUAUUUGUCACUUCUUGAUCGUCGUAUGUUGUUGUUGAUGGUUUGCUAGUGUCUUCACUUAGGGAUCGAUUAGCAAGCUAUUUUUUCGCUAGGGAUUAUUCUUCAUCCCUGCAAUUUAAAUUUUGUUUUCCCCAUGGUAGAUUUGGAUUUCAUUCGCCUCAUGGAUUGAAAAAUAUAUUGGAUCCAAAAUAAAUUUUUUAUGUGUUUUGAAAUAAUUAUUUGUAGCUUUGAGGGAUUAAUUGUAAAUUAUGAAAAGUUGUGCAAAGCAUGAGUUUGAAGGUUCCACUAGAAGAUGGUUUUGAUGAUCUUUAUGGUUGUGGAACUCAUUGGAAAGUUUUUUUAUUCUUCUCUAUCACGAUUGGAGGUAAAUUAAACCAAAUAUCGUAUCAAGAACUUUUUACA
This 1564-nucleotide long non-coding RNA is filed under the name Lathyrus oleraceus (garden pea). RNAcentral describes it as "Pisum sativum (pea) long non-coding RNA (PSAT_LNC031338)". Lineage: Eukaryota; Viridiplantae; Streptophyta; Magnoliopsida; Fabales; Fabaceae. The record is from RNAcentral.